This 2788-nucleotide ribosomal RNA is filed under the name Salmonella enterica subsp. enterica serovar Infantis str. CVM N20078. RNAcentral's name for it is "bacterial LSU rRNA". It matches the Rfam family "Bacterial large subunit ribosomal RNA". RNAcentral also lists the same sequence under 1 other name. The record is from RNAcentral. Lineage: Bacteria; Pseudomonadati; Pseudomonadota; Gammaproteobacteria; Enterobacterales; Enterobacteriaceae.
GGGUUGUGAGGUUAAGCGACUAAGCGUACACGGUGGAUGCCCUGGCAGUCAGAGGCGAUGAAGGGCGUGCUAAUCUGCGAUAAGCGCCGGUAAGGUGAUAUGAACCGUUAUAACCGGCGAUACCCGAAUGGGGAAACCCAGUGUGACUCGUCACACUAUCAUUAACUGAAUCCAUAGGUUAAUGAGGCGAACCGGGGGAACUGAAACAUCUAAGUACCCCGAGGAAAAGAAAUCAACCGAGAUUCCCCCAGUAGCGGCGAGCGAACGGGGAGGAGCCCAGAGCCUGAAUCAGCAUGUGUGUUAGUGGAAGCGUCUGGAAAGGCGCGCGAUACAGGGUGACAGCCCCGUACACAAAAGCGCAUGUGCUGUGAGCUCGAUGAGUAGGGCGGGACACGUGGUAUCCUGUCUGAAUAUGGGGGGACCAUCCUCCAAGGCUAAAUACUCCUGACUGACCGAUAGUGAACCAGUACCGUGAGGGAAAGGCGAAAAGAACCCCGGCGAGGGGAGUGAAAAAGAACCUGAAACCGUGUACGUACAAGCAGUGGGAGCNNGUGACUGCGUACCUUUUGUAUAAUGGGUCAGCGACUUAUAUUCUGUAGCAAGGUUAACCGAAUAGGGGAGCCGGAGGGAAACCGAGUCUUAAUUGGGCGUUAAGUUGCAGGGUAUAGACCCGAAACCCGGUGAUCUAGCCAUGGGCAGGUUGAAGGUUGGGUAACACUAACUGGAGGACCGAACCGACUAAUGUUGAAAAAUUAGCGGAUGACCUGUGGCUGGGGGUGAAAGGCCAAUCAAACCGGGAGAUAGCUGGUUCUCCCCGAAAGCUAUUUAGGUAGCGCCUCGUGAAUUCAUCUCCGGGGGUAGAGCACUGUUUCGGCUAGGGGGCCAUCCCGGCUUACCAACCCGAUGCAAACUGCGAAUACCGGAGAAUGUUAUCACGGGAGACACACGGCGGGUGCUAACGUCCGUCGUGAAGAGGGAAACAACCCAGACCGCCAGCUAAGGUCCCAAAGUCAUGGUUAAGUGGGAAACGAUGUGGGAAGGCCCAGACAGCCAGGAUGUUGGCUUAGAAGCAGCCAUCAUUUAAAGAAAGCGUAAUAGCUCACUGGUCGAGUCGGCCUGCGCGGAAGAUGUAACGGGGCUAAACCAUGCACCGAAGCUGCGGCAGCGANNGUUGGGUAGGGGAGCGUUCUGUAAGCCUGUGAAGGUGUGUCGUGAGGCAUGCUGGAGGUAUCAGAAGUGCGAAUGCUGACAUAAGUAACGAUAAAGCGGGUGAAAAGCCCGCUCGCCGGAAGACCAAGGGUUCCUGUCCAACGUUAAUCGGGGCAGGGUGAGUCGACCCCUAAGGCGAGGCCGAAAGGCGUAGUCGAUGGGAAACGGGUUAAUAUUCCCGUACUUGGUGUUACUGCGAAGGGGGGACGGAGAAGGCUAUGUUGGCCGGGCGACGGUUGUCCCGGUUUAAGCGUGUAGGUGUGUGUUCCAGGUAAAUCCGGUUCACUUUAACACUGAGGCGUGAUGACGAGGCACUACGGUGCUGAAGCAACAAAUGCCCUGCUUCCAGGAAAAGCCUCUAAGCAUCAGGUAACAUCAAAUCGUACCCCAAACCGACACAGGUGGUCAGGUAGAGAAUACCAAGGCGCUUGAGAGAACUCGGGUGAAGGAACUAGGCAAAAUGGUGCCGUAACUUCGGGAGAAGGCACGCUGACACGUAGGUGAAGUGAUUUACUCAUGGAGCUGAAGUCAGUCGAAGAUACCAGCUGGCUGCAACUGUUUAUUAAAAACACAGCACUGUGCAAACACGAAAGUGGACGUAUACGGUGUGACGCCUGCCCGGUGCCGGAAGGUUAAUUGAUGGGGUCAGCGCAAGCGAAGCUCCUGAUCGAAGCCCCGGUAAACGGCGGCCGUAACUAUAACGGUCCUAAGGUAGCGAAAUUCCUUGUCGGGUAAGUUCCGACCUGCACGAAUGGCGUAAUGAUGGCCAGGCUGUCUCCACCCGAGACUCAGUGAAAUUGAACUCGCUGUGAAGAUGCAGUGUACCCGCGGCAAGACGGAAAGACCCCGUGAACCUUUACUAUAGCUUGACACUGAACAUUGAGCCUUGAUGUGUAGGAUAGGUGGGAGGCUUUGAAGCGUGGACGCCAGUCUGCGUGGAGCCGACCUUGAAAUACCACCCUUUAAUGUUUGAUGUUCUAACGUGGACCCGUAAUCCGGGUUGCGGACAGUGUCUGGUGGGUAGUUUGACUGGGGCGGUCUCCUCCUAAAGAGUAACGGAGGAGCACGAAGGUUGGCUAAUCCUGGUCGGACAUCAGGAGGUUAGUGCAAUGGCAUAAGCCAGCUUGACUGCGAGCGUGACGGCGCGAGCAGGUGCGAAAGCAGGUCAUAGUGAUCCGGUGGUUCUGAAUGGAAGGGCCAUCGCUCAACGGAUAAAAGGUACUCCGGGGAUAACAGGCUGAUACCGCCCAAGAGUUCAUAUCGACGGCGGUGUUUGGCACCUCGAUGUCGGCUCAUCACAUCCUGGGGCUGAAGUAGGUCCCAAGGGUAUGGCUGUUCGCCAUUUAAAGUGGUACGCGAGCUGGGUUUAGAACGUCGUGAGACAGUUCGGUCCCUAUCUGCCGUGGGCGCUGGAGAACUGAGGGGGGCUGCUCCUAGUACGAGAGGACCGGAGUGGACGCAUCACUGGUGUUCGGGUUGUCAUGCCAAUGGCACUGCCCGGUAGCUAAAUGCGGAAGAGAUAAGUGCUGAAAGCAUCUAAGCACGAAACUUGCCCCGAGAUGAGUUCUCCCUGAGACUU